Molecule: unclassified non-coding RNA, 292 nt
Filed under: Hevea brasiliensis (rubber tree)
Lineage: Eukaryota; Viridiplantae; Streptophyta; Magnoliopsida; Malpighiales; Euphorbiaceae
Source: RNAcentral
GGCAUAAGGAAGCAUGGAGUGUGUAUGAUUAAACAUAUGUUCUCAUUAAUCUUGAAUGUUUCAUGCUCAGGACAUGGACAUUUUUCUGUAAUCACCAUUUGAUAGUUGGUAAUUACGUUAUAAUUUUCCCCCUUUCUCAAGUUUGACUUGUUUCAACUCUUUAUUUUGGUUGUUUGGCAUUGAUUAAUGUCACUUCAUUUUGAUUAUAAGUGCUAGCUUCCAAUGAUUUGAAACAUAUGUACUUUGCUAACUGCUUUCAAAUCAUCAGGCAUUGGUACUAGAGGUCUGUGAU